CAGUCGAGCGAUGGAUUAAGAGCUUGCUCUUAUGAAGUUAGCGGCGGACGGGUGAGUAACACGUGGGUAACCUGCCCAUAAGACUGGGAUAACUCCGGGAAACCGGGGCUAAUACCGGAUAACAUUUUGAACUGCAUGGUUCGAAAUUGAAAGGCGGCUUCGGCUGUCACUUAUGGAUGGACCCGCGUCGCAUUAGCUAGUUGGUGAGGUAACGGCUCACCAAGGCAACGAUGCGUAGCCGACCUGAGAGGGUGAUCGGCCACACUGGGACUGAGACACGGCCCAGACUCCUACGGGAGGCAGCAGUAGGGAAUCUUCCGCAAUGGACGAAAGUCUGACGGAGCAACGCCGCGUGAGUGAUGAAGGCUUUCGGGUCGUAAAACUCUGUUGUUAGGGAAGAACAAGUGCUAGUUGAAUAAGCUGGCACCUUGACGGUACCUAACCAGAAAGCCACGGCUAACUACGUGCCAGC
Molecule: ribosomal RNA, 472 nt
Filed under: Bacillus sp. (in: firmicutes)
Lineage: Bacteria; Bacillati; Bacillota; Bacilli; Caryophanales; Bacillaceae
Description: bacterial SSU rRNA
Rfam family: Bacterial small subunit ribosomal RNA
Source: RNAcentral